Long non-coding RNA from Dendroctonus ponderosae (mountain pine beetle), 587 nucleotides. RefSeq lists it as uncharacterized. Lineage: Eukaryota; Metazoa; Arthropoda; Insecta; Coleoptera; Curculionidae. The record is from RefSeq and is a predicted model, not a curated record. The transcript is spliced from 3 exons.
ACAUUUCGGUUUUCAUCUAUGAGUGACAUUAACAGGGUUGUUGACUGCCAGCGCUAUUUUCUUUCAAAAUUUGUGAAAAUUCGUUCCGAAUCGGGGUAAACUGUGCAUAUUCUCAAAGCUGAGUUUUCGACCGUCACGUCGGUACUAAAUUCGCAAACGGAGCGAUGUUUUUUGUGGGUAAAUUUUUAUUUUGAAAAUUUUUCAGACAGUUUUUGGUUAUGGCGUCAGUGAGCCGGCAAAAUGCGCAGCCAAAUUGCGCCUCGAUUCUUCCAAUUCAAUGCGCUCCUCGGCCAGUAAUAGAUUGUGAUUGUGAAGUAUUUUUGCAUAAACGAGAGUUUGGUGUUAGUUUUAAUCGCUGGACAAUUCAUCGACUUCGCCAUUGGACAAUCAACCAACUACGAUGAGAUGCUGCUAAACGUUUCGAGCCUUACUUCGGUGGCGCUAUGCAGUAUUGGGUGCUUUGGAUGCCGCAAAGUGACGAUCAACUGUUAAGCAAUCAGUCCACUAGAAGACGGAAAUGCUACUAGCCGAAACGUUGUUAUAAAAAUUGUGUAAUACAGUGAAUGAAUGAAGAAGUUAUUUAAAAA